GUGAGAGGCCCGCGGCCCUAUCAAGCUUGGUGGGUGGGGUAUGGGCCAACCAAGGCGACGACGGGUUAGCUGGUCUGAGAGGACGGCCAGCCACACUGGGACUGAGACACGGCCCCGAAUUCUUCGGGAGGCAGCCAGUGGGGGAUUUUGCCACUAAUGCGCGAAAGCGUGACGCAGCGACGCCGCGUGGGGGAUGAAGGCCUUCGGGUUGUAAACCCCUUUCAGCAGGGACGAACGGAAACUGACGGUACCUGCAGAUGAGGUCCCCCC
This 270-nucleotide ribosomal RNA is filed under the name uncultured Actinomycetales bacterium. Its description in RNAcentral is "partial 16S ribosomal RNA". It matches the Rfam family "Bacterial small subunit ribosomal RNA", at positions 222 to 497 of the family's 1533-position model. The record is from RNAcentral. Lineage: Bacteria; Bacillati; Actinomycetota; Actinomycetes; Actinomycetales.